UUCUGGCUCAGGAUGAACGCUGGCGGCGUGCCUAAUACAUGCAAGUCGAACGAGGUGCUUGUAGCAAUACGAAGUAUCCUAGUGGCGAACGGGUGAGUAACGCGUUGGUGACCUACCCCAAAGUGUGGGAUAACAGUCCGAAAGGAUUGCUAAUACCGCAUGUGGUCUCUGGAUUUAGAAACCGGUGACUAAAGGAGCAAUUCGCUUUGGGAGGGACCUGCGUCCCAUCAGCUAGUUGGUGAGGUAACGGCUCACCAAGGCGACGACGGGUAGGGGACCUGAGAGGGUGGCCCCCCACAAUGGAACUGAAACACGGUCCAUACACCUACGGGUGGCAGCAGUAGGGAAUAUUGGUCAAUGGGCGAAAGCCUGAACCAAGCAACGCCGCGUGUGCGAUGAAGGCCUUCGGGUCGUAAAGCACUUUUCUGGGAGAUGAGAAAGGACAGUAUCCCAGGAAUAAGUCUCGGCUAACUACGUGCCAGCCGCUGC
Molecule: ribosomal RNA, 489 nt
Filed under: uncultured bacterium
Lineage: Bacteria
Description: bacterial SSU rRNA
Rfam family: Bacterial small subunit ribosomal RNA
Source: RNAcentral